This is a long non-coding RNA of Salvelinus fontinalis (brook trout), 11862 nucleotides long. RefSeq lists it as uncharacterized. The transcript is spliced from 3 exons. The record is from RefSeq and is a predicted model, not a curated record. Lineage: Eukaryota; Metazoa; Chordata; Actinopteri; Salmoniformes; Salmonidae.
UCAGAUGGCGCCGGCUAGACGGAUGACUCAGAUGGCGCCGGGUAGACGGAUGACUCAGAUGGCGCCGGGUAGACGGAUGACUCAGAUGGCGCCGGGUAGACGGAUGACUCAGAUGGCGCCGGUAGACGGAUGACUCAGAUGGCGCCGGUAGACGGAUGACUCAGAUGGCGCCGGUAGACGGAUGACUCAGAUGGCGCCGGGUAGACGGAUGACUCAGAUGGCGCCGGGUAGACGGAUGACUCAGAUGGCGCCGGGUAGACGGAUGACUCAGAUGGCGCCGGGUAGACGGAUGACUCAGAUGGCGCCGGGUAGACGGAUGACUCAGAUGGCGCCGGGUAGACGGAUGACUCAGAUGGCGCCGGGUAGACGGAUGACUCAGAUGGCGCCGGGUAGACGGAUGACUCAGAUGGCGCCGGGUAGACGGAUGACUCAGAUGGCGCCGGGUAGACGGAUGACUCAGAUGGCGCCGGGUAGACGGAUGACUCAGAUGGCGCCGGGUAGACGGAUGACUCAGAUGGCGCCGGGUAGACGGAUGACUCAGAUGGCGCCGGGUAGACGGAUGACUCAGAUGGCGCCGGGUAGACGGAUGACUCAGAUGGCGCCGGGUAGACGGACAGCUCUGGCCGGCUGAGGCGCACUAUAGGCCUGGUGCGUGGUGCCGGAACUGGUGGUACCGGGCUGGGGACAUGCACCUGAAGACUAGUGCGGGGAGAAGGAACAGGGCACACUGGACCCUGGAUACGCACAUUAGGCCUCGUGCGUGGUGCCGGAACUGGUGGUACCGGGCUGGGACGGGAAGGUGUUACAGGAGGUGUAGGACUAGGAAUGCACACAGGAGACCUGGUUCGUGGAACUGUCAUUCCCAGACGGUUAGCACGCAACUCAGGACGAGCAUGAAGAGCUGACUCAGGUAACAUCACAUCCCGCACACGCUCUGUCGGGUGGAUGUCGUGCCUCACGCACCAACACAGCAGCUCCCUCUUUUCACUCUCCUCCAAACUCCUCAAUAAAUCCUUAACAGUCUCUAUAUCCUUCCCAUUGCUCACCUCCAGUAUCUGCACAACGGGCUCUGGCUCCCUCCUUUCACGCUGCUUGGUCCUGAAUGGUCGUGUCAUUCUGUCACGAUUGACCAUGGGAGAGAGAGAGGACCAAGGCGCAGCAUGUAAAAAAGACAUCUUCUCUUUAUUUAGGAGAAAACGAACGAAGCAAAACAACAAAUAGACGACCGUGAAGCUAGAACCGAACGAAAUGCAAACAUGCAACCUAGACACAGACACAGACCUAGACAAUGACCCGACAAAAACAUGAUGCCCAUGGCCGCCUAAAAUAUGGCUCCCAAUCAGAGACAAAUGAAAGACAUCUGUCUCUAAUUGGGAACCACUCAGGCAACCAUAGACAUACCUAGAACAUUCACUCAACCAUAGACAUACCUAGAAACAUUCACUCAACACAAACCCAUAAACUAAACCCAACACCCCCUUUUCCAUAUAACCACCAAAAACGAGACAAAACACAAACAUUCCCCAUGUCACACCCUGACCUAACUAAAAUAAUAAAGAAAACAAAGAAUACUAAGGCCAGGGCGUGACACCUUCAGAGGGCAUUGCAUGACAAUUGUCUUCAUUCUCUAACGUUAACGUUACUACAAUAAAGAAAAAGGAUCGAUAUUUCCUUUUUUCUUAUGAACAGCAAGACAAGCUUACAAAAUUGUUUUACAUUUGCAGUAAAUGUAUUGUAGAACAAACAUGCCUCUGAUACUAAGGAAUCAUGUCAGUUCUAUUCAUGGCAUUUAUAUCUGAACGUUAAAAAACGUUUUUAUACUGAACAUGCCCAGGGGAACCCACGGACCAAUAUACAGUAUGAACCCCACUGCCCAUCACUUGUCUGUCUGGAAAGCCUCCACAAAUGAAAAUGUGUGGUGGGUGGGGUCAGCCCAUAGCUGACCCCGCCCCUUUCUGUGUGCCGCUUCUCCUCAAUCAAGGUUUCCACUAGCUUCUAUAGCCACAAAGUCAGAUUUCACAGGUCACAAAUUCAGAUUCCACAUCCACAAAGUCAAAAUUGGAUACAAAAAAUAUAUAUUUUCAGGCUUAAUUUAAGGUCAGGGUUAGGUUUAAAAUAAAAUUGUAAGAUGAGAAAUUGUAGGUAUGGGUAGGGUUUAUGACUUUGUUGCUAUAGAAACUUGGGACGACCCUCAAGUCUGCAUCUCAAUUUGAUUUGUUUCUUAAUGCAUUUGAGCCUAUCAGUUGUGUUGUGACAAGGUAGGGGUGGUAUUCAGAAGAUAGCCCUAUUUGGUAAAAUACCAAGUCCAUAUUAUGGCAAGAACAGCUCAAAUAAGAAAAUAGAAACGACAGUUUAAGACGUGAAGGUCAAUCAAUACGGAACAUUUCAAGAAUUUUGAAAGUUUCUUCAACUGCAGUCGCGAAAACCAUCAAGCGCUAUGAUGAAACUGGCUCUCAUGAGGACCGCCACAGGAAAGGAAGACCCAGAGUUACCUCUGCUGCAGAGGAUAAGUUCAUUAGAGUUACCAGCCAGAAAUUGCAGCCCACAUAAAUGCUUCACAGAGUUCAAGUAACAGACAGAUCUCAACAUCAACUUUUCAGAGGACACUGUGAAUCAGGCCUUCAUAGUCAAAUUGCUGCAAAGAAACCACUACUAAAGGACACCAAUAAUAAGAAGAGACUUGCAUGGGCCAAGAAACACGAGCAAUGGACAUUAGACUGGUGGAAAUCUGUCGUUUGGUCUGAUGAGUCCAAAUGUGUGAUUAUUGGAUCCAACAGCCGUGUCUUUGUGAGACGCAAAGUAGGUGAACGAAUGAUCUCUGCAUGUGUGGUUCCCACCAUGAAGCAUGGAGGAGGUGUGAUGGUGUGGGGGUGCUUUGCUGGUGACACUGUCUGUGAUUUAUUUCAAAUUCAAGGCACACUUAACCAGCAUGGCUACCACAGCAUUCUGCAGCGAUACGCCAUCCCAUCUGGUUUGCGCUUAGUGGGACUAUUAUUUGUUUUUCAACAGGACAAUGACCCAAUACACCUCCAGGCUGGGUAAGGGCUAUUUGACCAAGAAGGAGAGUGAUGGAGUGCUUCAUCAGAUGACCUGGCCUCGACAAUCACUUGACCUCAACCCAAUUGAGAUGGCUUGGGAUGAGUUGGACCGCAGAGGGAAGGAAAAGCAGCCAACAAGUGCUCAAACAUAUGUGGGAAGUCCUUCCAGUCUGUUGUGAAAGCAUUCCAGGUGAAGCUGGUUGAGAAUGCCAAGAGUGUGCAAAGCUGUCAUCAAGGCGAAGGUUGGCUACUUUUUUACUACAUGAUUCCAUAUGUGUUAUUUCAUAGUUUCAAUAUUUAAUCAAUCAUUUAUUUGUAAUUUUUGGGGGGGAUACCUAAAGGGGUCCUAAAAUUCAAAAGCAAAUAGCUAAGUGAUCCAUGGUAUGACAAUAUUAAAAAAUAUAUAUAUGUAAGCUUAGAAACCCCCUCCCCCAAUGACUUAGACUCUUAUAAGGCCAGUUUUAAAAGUUCAGAGUGAUGGAGCAGCUCUCAGAUGGUCAGGGAGAGGAUUCCAUGGGUGAGGGGCAAGGGAGCAUGAAGGCUCGGUCCCCCAUAGUUCAGAGACGUGUCUUGGGGACUUGAAGCAGUAGGGAGUGGUUGGAGCUGAGAGUGCAAGGUAUAGAUACAGUACAGUACAUCAUCAAAAUGAUAUGAGUCCAAAACAGAAUAGAUCUGUGUGUUUGAGGGGAGAGGGAAGAUGGAGGCAUCUGGACAUAUUGAAUCAUUGACUCUGAGUCACCAUAUUCUCUACCUAUAUUCAAUGAAAAAGUGGGGCAGAAUAUAACCAAUCACAGUCUUUCAAAAAGAGCACCUCCCUGAAAAUUACAUCUGUGCUAUCCUUGAAAUGUUAUUGUGUGCUCUCCCUCCCUCAUCCCUGAUACAGAGAGAAAGAGAGAGAGAGAGAGACCUGACCCGAUCUCCCCACAUAGUCUUUUCAAAGGCAUGCUUUUGGAUUCGUAAAAAAAGUGACAAAAUCUCAAUGUCAGGGAGAACGGUGCACCGUCUCUGAUAGUAGGCAGUCUCUGUCGGGGUGCCACUAUUCUCCAGGUUAGCUUAUACUGAGAAAAUAAUCAGAGCCCUCUUUGAACCCACCUCUCAAGGAUACACAUUGGUGGGAAAGGCACCUUUUAACAGUUGGACAUUUAAAUUCAGCCAUGAGAGAGCAGUAGGAGGCUCUCCUCUCCGCCCUGGCUUGUGUUAUCUCAGGCUUUGUCUUUGUUGCACCCCAAAUGGGUGAGUGAUGUGUCGAAGAAUCGUGGUGUCCCUGUGAAAUUGUGCAUUCCUCUGUGAGACUCUGCGAGAGAGGUGCGUUGGAUAGCCAGAGCAGCGUGAAGAGUAAGUGCUGUGAGAGUUUUGUGAAGCAGGGCGCCUCUAAUGAAAACACACACGGGGAUGGAGCGUCUGUACACAAACCCACUGUGCGUCCCCCCUGCGCGUAUCACAACUGCAUGCAGACGACCUCACUGACCCUGACGCCUCUGUGUCAACACUGGCCUCCCCGCAAGCUGCACAUGCACACGCUCGCACACACAGACACGUACACACCGCCCUCCCCCUGAGACACACAAUCAUACACACAUACAUGAGCGCGCCUACCAUAUUAACAAUUAUCAUGCUGCACAUGCAUACACACACACACACACACACAUUGCCUUACAUGUCACCAACUGUCACUGAAAAGCUCACACAUCCUGUGUGCACAUAUACACACGCAGAAAUCUUGAAUUGCUCAAUCUUAUAGCGGCUAACUGAACAUAAACGGCUUUUGGAUUUUGGAUUUGCUUGGUCAGCAAUAGCAGUUACCAUAGACUUCCACUCAUUGCGCUAACACUAGUCAGCAAUUGCGCUAACGCUAGUUAGCAACUUCCUUUGAACUGCACGCAGAGACAUAACAAUGGCAUCCAUGAAUUCAUCUGACUCUGGGAAGGUAGAUAAAGGGCUUCAUUGUCAAAAUCCUAAAGUAUCCCUUUAACCUUAUAUAUAUAUAUCUUGGUCCUAUAAAACAUAACAUCCUUGUCCUUUAACUUCUUAUGGCUGCAGGGGCAGUAUUGAGUAGCUUGGAUGAAAGGUGCACAGAGGUGCCAAGAGUAAACAGCCUGCUCCUCAGUCAUAGUUGCUAAUAUAUGCAUAUUAUUAUUAGUAUUGGAUAGAAAACACUCUGAAGUUUCUAAAACUGUUUGAAUUAUGUCUGUGAGUAUAACAGAACUCAUAUGGCAGGCAGAAACCUGAGAAGUUCCACUUCCUGUUUGGAUUUUUUCUGAGGCUGGUAGAUUUUCAACCAAGCUCCCAUUAAAAUUACAGCGAGAUAUGGAUGAGUUUACACUUCCUACGGCUUCCACUAGAUGUCAACAGUCAAUAGAACUUUGUCCGAUGACUCUGUUGUGAAGGAGGGCCGAAGGAGACAGGAAUGAGUAACCACUGCCAUGAGGUGACCACACUUUGACCACACGCGUUCACGUGAGAGGCAGCUCCGUUCCAUCGCUCAACUGAAGUCAAUGUAAUUCUCCGGUUGGAACGUUAUUCAAGAUGUAUGUUAACAACAUUCUAAAGAUUGAUUCAGUACAUCGUUUGACAUGUUUCUACUGACUGUUACGGAACUUUUGGACAUUUCGUCACGUUUUAGUCAACGCGCUUUGUGACUUUGGAAUUGUUUACCUAUCGUGCUAACCAAAGUAGCAAAUUUGACAUAAAUAAAGGAAAUUAUCGAACAAAUCCAGCAUUUAUUGUGGACCUGCGAUUCCUGGGAGUGCAUUGUGAUGAAGAUCAUCAAAGGUAAGGGAAUAUUUAUCAUGUAAUUUCUGGUUUCUGUUGACUCCAACAUGGCGGCUAAUUUGACUCUUGUUCUGAGCUCCGUCUCAGAUUAUUGCAUGGUUUGCUUUUCCCGUAAAGUUCUUUUUUUAAUCUGACACACCGGUUGCAUUAAGGAGAGGUAUAUCUAUAAUUCCAUGUGUAUAACUUGUAUUAUCAUCUACAUUUAUGAUGAGUAUUUCUGUUGAAACGAUGUGGCUAUGCACUAUCACUGGAUGUUUUUGGAACUAGUGAAUGUAACGCGCCAAUGUAAACUCAGAUUUUUUUAUAUAAAUAUGAACUUUAUCAAACAAAACAUGCAUAUAUUGUGUAACAUGAAGUCCUAUGAGUGUCAUCUGAUGAAGAUCAUCAAGGUUAGUGAUUCAUUUUAGCUAUAUUUCUGCUUUUUGUGACUGCUAUCUUUCCCUGGAAAAAUGGCUGUGCUUAUUGUGGUUUGGUGUGACCUAAAAUAAUCGUUUGUAGUGCUUUCGCUGAAAAGCAUAUUUGAAAUGGGACACUUUGGUGGGAUUAACAACAAAAUUACCUUUAAAAUGGUAUAAGAAACAUGUAUGUCUGAGGAAUUUUAAUUAUGAGAUUUCUGUUGUUUUGAAUUUGGCGCCCUGCACUUUCACUGGCUGCUGUCAUAUCAUCCCGUUACUGGGAUUGCAGCCAUAAGAAGUUUUAAGGUCCUGGCUGUUAGUAGUUUCCAUGGUGACAGGUUUUAUGUUCAGAUAAUAAGGUGAAAAGUGGUUUCUAUUCUGAGGCAUCAUUUAGGCCAUUCUCUCCCAUGGGGGGGGGGGUCUAUCUGUCUCAGUCGGAUCAAUAUCACAGACGUGUACACACACUCACGCAUACACACACUCACCUUCCUCCUGUCUAACUCACUGCUAUUGGACAAAAGCAUUGAGGGGAGGCAGGUAGCCUAGUGGUUAGAGCGUUGGCCUAGUAACCAAAAUGUUUGCAAGAUCAAAUCCCAGAGCUGACAAGGUAAAAAUGCUGUCGUUCUGCCCCUGAACAAGGCAGUUUAACCCACUGUUCCCCUGAACAAGUCAGUUAACCCACUGUUCCACUGAACAAGGCAGUUAAUCCACUGUUCCUAGGCCGUCAUUGUAAAUAAGAAUUUGAUAUUAACUGACUAGCCUAGUUAAAUGAAGGUUAAAAAAGCUCUCUGACAUAAGACAAGGAGUAUGACUGUCUUUGUAUCUUUUGAGCUUACUUGCUUUGGCCAUUUGAGAACUAUUUGCAAAGCAAAAGACCACAGCCAAGCUCCUUGAGACUUCCUUGACUUCAUGUUGUGUUACUUUGGCACACAGUACAAUGUGACUUAAUCUCCAGUCUAAAUUUGAGCAGUAAUGUUAUGCAUGUGGUAUUGUUGGCAGAACCAAAACAGUCUGGUCAGGGAAGGAGAUAGGCCUGUCAUGUGACCACUGAAAACGGGGCUGACACAAUGGCCUGGGGUCUCAGGUGGUAUGGGAAAAGGCUGGCAGAGCAGAAGGAAGGAGGUAGGUGAGAAACACAAUCCUCUGUUUUUAGUCCUCCAGUCUGGCAGCAACCCAUGCCCCUUUCCUGUCCAGGUGCUAGCCUGCAGUAGACGAAGCCAUAAAAACAAAGAGGCUUUACUGACUGUGAAGCUAGAGGAAGUUACUGUCAUUGCUGUUGGCAGUGGCACCAUGAGUAAAAAGUACAAUAACAAAAUAGGUAGGAGGGAGAAAAAGGGGGAGGGAUGUCCUCUAAAAAAGUCAGCCAGCACAGAAGAAGAUGAGUUUGUAAUUUUACCAAUCUUGUACGGUAGCCUAGAAUUGCCUCAGGUUAAUAAGAUCGUAACAGAGAACAAUCUUUUUUUGACAAACGUCAUUCUUUUUUACUCCUUUCCCCCCCGCUCUUAGCUUUAUUCCACACGACAAAAUACUGUCAAUGUCAGAAUGAAAAGAGAGAGAAAGAGUAGAGAGAGUGUGUGUCAAAAGAGAGAUGGGGAGAUAGAGAGAGAGAGAGAGAGAGAGAGAGAGAGAGAGAGCAUGAAUAGAGGCUGUUGACCAAUAUGCUGAGUCACUGUUACACUGGAAGAAUUUCAUCAGCCAUACUAUGAGGAUUUAGGCAGAUUCAGAGAUACAGGAGUACUCCUAGUGAUAUGCAAAAUACACUGUAAUACACUGAUACCCAAAAUGUUUGAUCACAGCAUUAGAACGUUUUAUUUGUCUAAUGGGGGCUACACUAAAAUGUAUUUCCUGAGAAACUUCAUCAGAUGCUCAUAAUUCAAUGCCAGGGUCAUCUCUCUCAAAACCGCUGAUUCAUGGUUAGGAUGGAACUUCUUACCAAUCAUGAGUCAUCAUUGCAGGAGAAUGCCACUGACUGAUGGGCAGGAAUGUGAGAACGUGAGAACCAGGAGAACAAUUUCAGUUUAUUGCUAGUGGUAUCAAUAAUGGUAUUUUUUUUAUUUAUUUUUUUUCUCCCCUUUUCUCCCCAAUUUUCGUGGUAUCCAAUCGCUAGUAAUUGCUAUCUUGUCUCAUCGCUACAACUCCCGUACGGGCUCGGGAGAGACGAAGGUCGAAAGCCAUGCGUCCUCCGAAACACAACCCAACCAAGCCGCACUGCUUCUUUAACACAGCGCGCCUCCAACCCGGAAGCCAGCCGCACCAAUGUGUAGGAGGAAACACUGUGCACCUGGCCCCCUUGGUUAGCGCGCACUGCGCCCGGCCCGCCACAAGAGUCGCUGUAGCGCGAUGAGACAAGGAUAUCCCUACCGCCCAAACCCUCCCUAACCCGGACGACGCUAGCCCAAUUGUGCGUCGCCCCACGGACCUCCCGGUCGCGGCCGGCUGCGACAGAGCCUGGGCGCGAACCCAGAGACUCUGGUGGCGCAGCUAGCACUGCAAUAAUGGUAUUUUUAUAUAAAUAAUUCCCCAUAGGAUUCAAUAGAGAAGCACAUUUUUGAUAUUGAUAAUAAAACAUUAUAUACAAAAAUUCAAAUUUUUAAUAUCGAUAAUACAGUUUGUGAUAUAAAUAAUUCCAUUUAUUUUAUAUAAUUUUUUUAAAUGAUCAAUAUCAAUAUAAGAAAAUCGGCCUCCCUAGGGCCGCAGCGGUCUAAGGCCCUGUAACGCAGUGUUGCGGCUUCACUACAGCCUGGGGUUUGAUCCCAGGCUGUGUCACAACUGGCCGUGACCGGGAGUCCCAUAGGGCGGUGCACAAUUGGCCCAGCGUCGUCUGGGUUAGGGUAAGGUUUGGCUGGGAGGGGGGCUUUACUUGGCUCUUCGCGCUCUUGUGAUUCUUUGUGGCGGGCCGGGCGCCUGAAGGCUGACUUCAGUCGUCAGUUGAAUGGUGUUUCCUACAACACAUUGAUUGGUGCAGCUGGCUUCCGGGUUAAGCAGGCAGGUGUUAAGAAGCGUGGCUUGGCGGGGGGUCCAUGACGUGACCUUCGCCUCUCCCGAGCCUGUUGGAGAGUUGCAAGGAUGAGACAAGAUCGUAAUCACAAAAUUGGUACAAAUGAUAUAUUAAUAAUAAUUGAAAAAUUUAUUAAAUUAUAAUUUUUUUCGAGGGAGGAAAGGACCAUCCUACUGUGAAACCUUAAAGUUAUAAUUCUAUAGGUAAAACUAUACUAAAAAUAUUCACGUCACCAAAUAAUUGGUUAAAAUACACUGUUUUGCAAUGAAGGUCGACAGUAACUUCAACUGCACUGUCUGGGCUAGCACCAUGGUCCAUCCUCCUCUUGCUACAUUGACUUCAAUACAAAACCUAGGAGGCUGGUAGGCCCUUUCGUAGACAUGCAUGGUAAUUAUGACCACUUCCGGAGGACGUCCUCCAACCAAUCAAAGCUUUUGCGGUAUGAACUAACAUGUUGUCCAUCCAAUCAUAGAUGUAGGAUCAGAGAAUGAACAUUGUGUGUUGUAUUGGGAUUGUGCCACAGAGCAUUAUGGGGGUUGUAUGUGUUGAGAAACCUGGUGACGUUGUUGGAAGAGAUUAAGAGUGAUAGUUUAGUAUUUUUGGAAAUUAUUCAAUUCAAAUUAGUUUUUUCAAAUUACAGGAGACGGAGGAGGUAUAUUAUACAUUGUUUUCUUGGUUUUAGAACUUUAUUUUUGUAUCGUUAGUGCAAUUUAUUUAAAUUUGCAUUUUUCUCCACCAGAAUGGUAGAAUGUCCCAACACUGCCGAAAAUGUUGUGGACUUUUUGUUGAAGAACCUCUUUCAUUCUCAGGGGCAAAUUAAAAAGGUGUGAAUUAAAAGCGAGUGUCGUCCUCUGCCUGAGAUCAGUUUCAUGAAGAGGUGAGGGAGUUCAAUACCAACUGGUAUCAAAAGUAUAGCUGGUUUAACAGAGAACCUUUCAUCAAGCCGCCUGUAAUUGCACAUUGAGAUUCUUUACAUGCUGAACAUCUUUUCUGGAAUGUUGAAAACAAUUCAGAAUGAGUUGAUAGCUUCAAUCGCAUCAUCCAUUAAAAGUUAGAUUAAAGAGGUUGACACAGCACAUUUUUUCACGUGCGCUCAAGUAGGCUUUGCACUUUCCUCCGGUACUUAUUUGACAAAGAUGAUAACACAUAAUCACUCCGGACAGACACAAGCAAAAACUCAUGACAUAAAUGUUGCAGCAGCCUAGGCCACACCUAAACAUCAGAGAUCUGACUUGCUGUAUGGGAUGAAAACGAGACCAUUUUUCCUUCUGAUCAACUGUAGGCUACUAUUAAGAGCAGCUGCAUACAGCCUAUGUGCCCUGUCCAUCUGGUCAGGGUAAACUAAUUGGUAACGUUAUGUAUUUAUAGUCCAUUUGUGCGUCAGGAGAAAAUGUGAACGUGAUCAAAUUUAGAUUAUAUUCAAAAUUGGGCUGGCUAGGCUGCCUAUACGUUUUGAAUCCACAAUUAUUAACUUGAAAUAAUGAAUCAACAUAAUAGUGAUAGCAGAUGUGAGUCCUUUUUUUAUAAGGCCUACAGUUGCAUAGGCCUGCAUGAUGCAAACAUGCAUAAAAGCAAGCUCAGCCCUAUGAGUUCUAUUGUCUAUCAGUUGUUAUCGAUGUGUCUGGGUAGAGAAAAUCCCCCUCCUAAUCUAGUCUAAAUAUAAUAUAUAUCAGCAAAUGUAAGGUAGCUGCAGUUUGAAAGGGUUCAUCCCCCCCAGUGCCAGGAGUUAUUUUAAACCAUGUUACUUGAUUAGGAAAACUGGUCCCAUCAUAGCCCACAUAAAACCUUCUUACAACUGAUUAAUCACUGUCAUACCUUGUAAGGUCCAGAGUUUUCCUGGUUAGGUUAACAGAUGAGGAAAAACUCCAGGCCCCAGGAGGUAAAAAUUGCCCCACCGCUCUGGAACCUCUGGUGCUACCAAUCUGCUUGCAGUUGGCAGUUAUCAUCAGCUAAGUCCCCUCCUGUUCCCUGAUUAGGAGGUGAUGACUACUCCACUCCACUACCAUUAUCAUCUCUCUCCUGACAUGAACUGAAGCCACGUCUCAUGUGCCCACUCAUCCACUGGCACGUUGAGUGUUUCCCUUCCAAGCACUUAAAAUCCUGUCCAGCACUGGUCAAGCCUCUGAACAUCUCAACUCAUGCCUCAUACCCUCAUUCAAUCACUGCUGUGAUCCCUUCCCAACAUGGUGUAGUCGCCCUCUCAUUCCCAUCCCCCAUAAUAUUGUACUAUAAAUGUCUUUAUUAAAUGCUUUAGGUUAAAGUUAUUAGUCUUCGAUGAUUUUUGAAACACACUUGGUGGUCUCUGUGUGUUCUGUGGGUCUCCCAUCCUCCUCAAUUUUUCAAGUCACCAGCCUCCACUGAUGGUAUGACAUGAUUCUUCUGUUGUAAAAAGGUUUAAUAUGGGCUAUGGGACCAGAGUUUUUCUCAUCAGCCCACAUGGUUUUUAAAAACUCCUGUAUGAAAACCCUGUUAAACGGCAGCAAACUAGUACUUGAUCAUGUGAAUUAUAUGUUAGAGAAGGACUUUGGGGGGGUUCCUAAACACAGACACAGAAAGCAACAUGAUUGGACGAUACAACUCACAGGGCUGAGCUUGCUUUAUGCAGGUUUGCAUCCUGUAGUCCUAUGCAACUGUAGGCCUAAUAAAAAAUGAACUCACA